CAGUUACCCCUUGCUGCACCCUUCUCGAUGGUCUCGUUGACCUUGAAGCUGCAGUGUGCCUUUGCACUGCCCUCAAAGCAAACAUUUUGGGCAUCAACCUCAACCUUCCAAUCUCCCUUAGCUUGCUUCUCAAUGUUUGCUCAAGGAAAGCUCCACGUGAUUUCCAAUGUGCCUAAUCAUGGCCCAUGAGCAAGUUGCUACGUGCUUAUUCCUAGUUGUGGUUUUCCGUUGUUUUUUUUUUUUUUUGAAAUUCCAUUUAUCAUGGUGUGAUUCUUGUUCGUGCAUCAGUGCAUGGAUGGGUAAAUUCUCGUUAUAUUCUGCCGCUUUAUUGAUUGUUUUAUCAGGCAAAGUGUCACAUUAAAUAAAUUCCCAAUGCUUAAUUUCUUAUGUAAAGCAAAAGGAAUAAAAAAAUGAUAGUGUUAUUUAUAUGGCAGAUAAAUGGUUAAUGUUGCAAAUACAUUUUAAUAUUUAUUGAUGCCAUUUUGUUUUGUCUUUUCGGUGAAUGAGAGCAUCAGCUGAUCAGCAAAAUUACAUUGCUUUCUAACUUGUGUCCAAUGCGCAACUAGAGGAAAACUAAUUCAAGAAAAGAAUAAAAAUGAAAGUAAGCAUGCACAACACUGAGCCCGUGACGAUUGUACAAAGCACUCCACGUGCAUGCACUAUUAUUUCAUUUAAAAAAAAAGCUCAGAAUAAUUAGCUAUUUAAACCAAGAUACAUAUUAAAUUCUAUGGUACCACAGUAACACUUUUAGAGGUUUUGGAAAAUUUCAUAUUUGGACCAAUAGUUAUUAAGUUACUUAGUCAUCAAUUUACUAUAUGUGGUAAUGAAAUUGUUAUAUAUAUAUAUAUAUAUAUAUAUAUAUAUAUAUAUAUAUAUAUAUAUAUAAUUUAGUCCCUAAUUAAUUCAAAUAUUUUUUCUUUUAAAAUUAUUAUUUUUAAUUAUUUUAAUUAAAUAGAUAGAUCUGAUCAUUGACUCUGUAAAUCUUGAAGUUUUGGCAUUCAUGUGUCCUUCGACCUUAAAGAAGUGGAAAAAUAUCCAUGUUAAAUCUACUAUGGGGAAGGUUAAUUAAAAUUCAAUCCACAAUUGGUGACUCUAUCACUUACAAUGCUCUACCUUAUUCCAUGUUCCAAAAGAGCAUGUAAAAAAUCAUAUUUCCUCCAAUCUUAGUUAUAAGCAAAAAAGACAUUUUAUAUUUAUUAAAAAAAUUAACAAACUUUAUUAAAUUGUAUCAUUAAUUCCUAAUUAAAAAAUAAAUAUUUUUUCUAAACUAUUGGACUUUAUAUCAAAUAUAUAAAAAAAAUAAUCUUAUUAAAUGAAUAUAUUUUAGAGAGAAUCUUAUUAAAUAAGACAUAAAUAAUUCAAAUUUAAUAUUCUAAAUCCAAUGAAAUACUAAUUACUGUUCUUUACAAGCCUUCUGAAGUCCUUAGCUUGGUUCCUAAUCUAGAUCAGUCCCCCAGUUCAAGUGUAUGGAGAGGCCUAUGUCUUCCUCCUAACCCUCCUAUAUACUUUAGCCUUUAGAAGGGAUGUUCUGAUUAAUCGGGAUAUUCAUCGGUUGGUGUGAGUUGCGAUUGCAUCAAAAUCCCGUAGAUUGUGGGCUCUUACACAUCGAUGUAGGCCAAGUGUAGGUCUUUCUAUUGUGAGUGAUUUACCUCGGGACGAAUGAGGUGUGGCCCAAUGCGUAGUACUUCAAGCCACGAGUGGAGUAUAUAUGCACGAAGUGGCUUUGGUACACAACCCCUUAAGCCACAAGUGGAGUAUGCACAAAGUGGGUUUGUAGAGUUCGGGUUGACCGAGGUGUGGCACAAUACACAAUCCCUCAAGUCACAAGCUAGAGUGAAGUAUGCACUAAGUGAGUUUGCAGAGUACUAUCAAGAUUGAAAACUUGAAGGUACUUGAAACACACAUUGAAUUCUUAACAAAGUCAACGAUUAUAAAUCUUGCAAGAACACUCAUUGAAUUCUUUUGUAAAGAUAUAAAUGAAUGAAACACAAGUAAAAGUGUCAAAAAUAUCCCUGCUUAAUAUAAUAUAGAAACAAAAAAAAAAGACUAAUAAUACAUGAACCACGCCUAUUAUUACUACAAGAUUUUUUUUAAUGUUACACCCUAUAUUAACACCCAUCUUUUUCUCUAUCCCUCUCUUCUUCUCAUAUCAAAAUAUCUAUGAUACCUAUUAUCCCCCCCUCUCUUCUUCUCAUAUCAAAAUAUCUAUGAUACCUAUUUUACCAGAAAAAUACUUAUAUUUUUUUUAUAUUCAUGAAAUAAUCAAGNNNNNNNNNNNNNNNNNNNNNNNNNNNNNNNNNNNNNNNNNNNNNNNNNNNNNNNNNNNNNNNNNNNNNNNNNNNNNNNNNNNNNNNNNNNNNNNNNNNNAUAUAUAUAUAUAUAUAUAUAUAUAUAUAUAUAUAUAUAUAUAUAUAUAUAUAUAUAUAUAUAUAUAUAUAUAUAUAUAUAUAUAUAUAUAUAUAUAUAUAUAUAUAUAUAUAUAUAUAUAUAUAUAUAUAUAUAUAUAUAUAUAUUUACAUAAUACACGAACUACUUGCUAAUGAUUAUAUAGACUCCAAUCCCAAUCCCUCAGGUGGCUUCUGCCCUGGCGAUGCACUCAAACUAGGCAUAGGUGCCAAUGUGCUAAAUGGGCUGCUCAACGUGACUUUGUGUCAACCACCGGUUAUAUCUUCUUCUUCCCUCCUCAACGGUCUCAUUGACCUUGAGGCUGCACUGUCCUUAGAGCAAAUAUUUUGGGCAUCAACCUCAACCUUUCCAUCUCACGCAGCUCACUUCUCAAUGCUUGCUCAAGGCAAGUCCCAUGUGAUUUCCAUUGUGCCUAAUUACCCAACAUAUCAUAUAUAUCAUCGUACCUACUUUUGCUUUGUGUUUUCCAGUUGUGACUUUCCUUUCUUUUUUUUUUUUCAAAUUCCAUGUGUGGUUCUUGUACGUGCAUGGAGGGUUAGCUUCUCGUUAUUCCUUCCUUUCAGUGUUUUUGUAGUUAUCUGGUAAGAGUGACGCGAUAUAUAUUAUAUAUAGAAGCUCUCGAUGGUUGCUUGUGUAAAUCGCAAUGUACAAAAGUUGAUGAACUAGUCUGUUAUUUAUAAAAAGAAAACCAAACACAAGCGCUUGCAAAUGACCUCGUUAUUAAUGCUUCUAUUAUAUAUAUAUAUAUAUAAAGAGAUCAAAUAUCAAUAUAGUUUUGACCAACUAUUAUCUCAUUUAAUAACUUUCAAUUAAUUAAUAUUUUUGUUAAAACUCGUUAUUUGAUUAAAAAUUCAUUUCACAUGAAUUAAAUAUAUAAAAUUUUAUAUUAAUAUAAAAUUAUUUGUUAUCUUAUUAUUCAUAUAAACUAAAAUUGAUGUAAUAAAAAAAAUUAAAAUAUAUUAAAUUAUAAAUCAUUUGAUUAUUUUUUUAUUAUUGUUUAAUUUUAAUAAAAUUUAACACAUAUAAUAUAUAUUGAUAAUAUGUAAAUAUAAUUUAAUGAUCAAAUAAGUAAAAUUCACAAUUUUUUAUCAAAUUAUAGAAUAAUAAAAUAUUAAAUUAUAUUAAUAUAAUUUCAUCUAAUACAUAUUAAUUGUAUUUCAUGUGUAAAGAAUUUAGUAUUUUUUUAAUUGCAAUUAGUCUUGUAUAGUUUAAUGAUAUUUUUACCAGUGACUUGGUUUUCAUAUUGUUUUCCGUUAAGGCAUUAAUGGUCAUUUUCAUAAACAUUGGAUUUGGUAAAAGUCGAAAGGAUAAGACGAUUUUGCCAUAUGCUUAACUUGGCACUCUAUGGCUUGGCCUUUAUGGCUAAUAAGUAACACAUUUGUUUUUAAAAAUGUAUCAUUUGGCUUGAUCUCUUUGUUGGAUUUGAUUGAAUACUAAUCUUGGUCGUGGCAUAUAAGAAUAUGAUUUGUCCACCACUCGUAUAAUGACAUACAAACUAGCCUAGUUUUAAGCCACAACUUCUAACUUUGCAUCAUAUUCGGUUUCUAUGUAACCAAAUACACCAUAUGAUGCAAAGCCACAAAAUCUUCCAGCACUCUAUGCAUUUCUUUCCAUUUGCCAAUCCUAAAUUCGAUAUAAAAAAAUGUUGUAUUCCAUUAUUUGGUAGAACCGUAUUCACAUCUAACUACUGGUACCAAGUAGUCUCUUUUGAAAUGGGGAGAUUAUUAAAGUUAAACUCUUUUAGAAUGGAAAUAAAAGUCUAAUUAUGUUUAAAAAGUUUUAGAGUUUAAUAUUUUUUCAUAUAUAUUUUCUUAAUGAAAAUUAUUACACUGUUAAUUUGUUAUAAUUUUUAAAAUAAUUAUUACAUUAGAUAUAAUUUUUAAAAUAAUUAUUGUAAAUUAAAGCUAACAAUUUUACUGUACACAAAAAUUUAUAAUUGUGUGAUAAAACAAAUAUAAGUAUAUUUUUAAAGCAAAAUAUAAGUAUAUUCUAAUUAAAUACUAUUAACAUUUGCUAAGGCUAAUAAUUUGAAAACUUUGCAUAAUAUUUUGUUUUUGUUUUUGACAAUCGUGUAAUAUAAAAUUGGUUAAUGUGACUUCACGCCCCACCCCCAAAUUAUGAAGAUUUCACGAGCCAAAAACGCGUGGAAAACUUAGAUUUGAUUUUGAUAUUAAUUGGACAUCACAGAUUAAGUCAAUAAUUGCGGACUUGUUCACAAAGGAAUGUCUAAACGAAACUCUUUUUAAAAUGAAAAAAAACGUAGUACAACGUUCUUCAUUGGCUUAUGGGCCUUUGCUUGUUAGGCUUCUAGCUAUUAUAAGCUCCUAGUUGCAUGCUUCCUGUCGAAAAUUGAUCAUAUUUACAUAAUUGUUUUUUUUUUAACUUAAUACUUUCGUCGUGCAGUGACGACUGAUCCACGUAUCAACGAGAGGAUGCACUUCCAACCCUUCGCUUUUUUGGAAAACACACACACACAUAUAUUUUUUAAAAUAUGUAUAUUUUAUCUUCUUAAUUUUAUAUAUUUGAAUCAUCUAUCCUUAAUUUUAUUAGUAUUUUCAUAAAAUAUUUUAAACAUAAAUUUAAAUAAUAUAAGUACAUACACACUAAUUUACCCUUUGUUCCUUUUUCAAUCCUUAAAAUUUUAAGGCGCAAAUGAAUAAAACAACAAAAAGAUAAGAUAUGUAUUGAAAUUAUACAUAUGGUUCCACCUUAUUUCUGGUUACGGUACCCAGUUUAAUUACAUAAUAUAUUGCUUAUCAUGAAAGAAACGGGAAAAAGGAAACAACUAACAAAAACCAAAUUAUAUAUAUAUAUAUAUAUAUAUAUAUAUAUAUAUAUAUAUAUAUAUAUAUAUAUAUAUAUAUAUAUAUAUAUAUAUAUAUAUGAAAUAUAUAUAUAUAUACACAUAUAUGAAACCAUCAAAUCACAUAGAUUAUAGUUGAAAAUAUCAUUUUUAAUCAAUAGGAAAGGUAAAAGUCUCACUAUUUACGGGAAAUAAAAGAAUUAACUACGACGAAAUUGAUAUUUUUUUUCAAAUUACCUUUCUAAGCCUUUUCAAUCGGUAAAAUAUUUUCUUUAAUUUAUUACACGUAUUUUUUUUUUUACUUUGAGAAAAAAUAAUUUUUUUGGUUUUAUAUUAUUUUGAAAUACUUUUCAUUAAAUAAACAUAUAUAUAACCAAAAAAUAUUAAAAAAUAAUAACUAUUGAGGUAAAUUUAUUAUAAAUUUAACUAACCUAAAUAACUAAUAAUCAUUAUUCACUUCUUAUUUUUGAACAAAAUAUCUACUAUUUACUAUUUAUAGUUUAAUUAUAAGAAUAUAACUUAUAAACACUGUACCUUAAAGUAUUUUUUAUAUUAAUUUUUAAUCAAGGUUUUAUUUUGAUAACCAACUCCAACUUAAUUAAUUAUAACUUAUAUUACGUGGAUUAUGGAAAUAAAAUUUAACUAUUAAUCAUUGCCUUCAUUUUAAAAUAAGUGUCACAUUUAAUUAUUUAAUGUAACAUUAAUUGUUUUUUUUUAUUAUUUCUAAUAAAUAUCACUUUAAUUUUUUAGUCUAAUAUUAAUAUUAUUUUUUAUCUAUUUAAUAAUAUUAUACUCUAUUUUAUUUAUUAAUUAACUUUUUUAUAUGUAUAAAAUAUUAUACAACCACACUUAUUUUCGGACUAGGGAGUAAAAAAAACAUUUAAGAAACAAGAUAGUAAGUUUUCUUCAAAUUCAUAAUUAAUAGCUAUCAGCCAAUUAGCUAGUGGUAGUGUGAGGAUAAGAUUGAAAAUGUAAUAAUAGCUAUUAGCCUAUUAGCUAGCGGUAAUGUGGGGAUCUGAUAGGCUGUCGGGAUACACACUUUUUUUUUAGAAGUUAUUCAAAUUUAAAAGAAGAUAGUUUUUUUUUAAAGACGUAUACGAGAAUAAAUUCUAAUUUUUACUAAUAAUUAUAAUUUAUUAGUUAAAUUCAAUGUUUAUAUAUACAAUUUUAAAAUAAUUUUUUUACUAUUAACGAGCUAAAACUAUUUUUCAUAUGACUUUUAAAAUAGUUAUUACAACAAUUUUAUCACAAAUAACAUUAUACAUCAAUAACUAAUAAGUGGUAAUGUUACAAAUUCCUGAAUAAGAUGACCCGGCCGGCCCGGAAAAAAACAAAAUUAGUCGAGAUUUUUAACAAGAUAUUUUUAUCAUCGAAAGUUAUAUACUAUCUUUUAAAGAAGUAGAAUAUGAAUUAAAGAAAAGCUUUUUUUGACACAUGUAUUAUUCUAUUCGCAUAGCUAAGGAUUGAAACACUAAUAUAUGUUUAAAGAGCUCAAAUUAUUUGCUACUUGUGUAAUAUCUUGUAGGGGUUGGAAAUUUUUUUAUUUGAAUCAUAUGUAUAAAAAAGUGCAUUUCAAUUUGAUGUCAACCAACACGUACUUUGUUCGAAACAGGCUGCAGGAAGAAUAGUCAUCAUCCUCAAAUUUUAGCUAUUUUAUUUAUUAAAAGUUUAAAUACAACCAAAUUAAUCACAUCUCGGAAGGAACUGUAAGGGAGAGUGUGUACUGUGCAGUCAAUUUCCAACCACAAUAAGCAAUACUUAUAAUAGGACCCAGUGACCCAUUAUUUCACAUGCAGAACCUUAUGUACUCUCAGAUCCACCGAUUGAUGGCGGUUCCUGCAUGCAUCACAAGUCACAAGCAUAUAAUACCUAAUUUAAGGUUUUUCCCCGCCAGCUAAAAUUCUCAUGUUCACUCAUGGUCAUUUCAUUAACAUACUAUUUAUUUAUUUUUUUGUAAAAAAAUUCAAGUGUUGAAUAUUAAUUUUGAGGUACUGAAUAUAUAAGUUUUAAUUAAAAAAAAUUAUGUUUUGGUUUGGGUAAUUGGCUCGAUUCAGUUUCGGUUGAUCUAGCAUGAUAUUAUUCCAUUUGGAUAUCUCGGAUAGUAACCCAAAUUUUAUGUUUGGUGAGACUUAUAAGCUAUUGUCUUUUUUUUUUCUUCUCAAUUUUAUGCUUAUUUUUUAUUUAAAAUUUAGUUUUAUCUUUUUAUUCAAUUUAAAAACUUUCUUAUUUUCUUUAUUGUCCGGACAAAUUCUCGUAUUUAAUUUAAUGUUCUUACAUGCUUACAACAAACAUAAUAAUCAAUCCCUCAAUUGUCAUUGUUACAUCAUUCUUUAAUAUUAGAUUUUUUUAAAAUUAUUUCAAUUUUAUAAUUAUUUACUAUUUUUUUUAUUUUAUAAUUACCUAUUUUGAUCCUUUGCAUUAUUUUUUAUUUUAUUGAUUUAAUUUGUUAAGGCAAAAAUAUAUCCUACUUUUCAAGAUGAUUAAUUAUUAAAAAUAAAAUUCAAAUAUUAAAAAUAUUAAUAUAUUAUUUGAUAUUUAUUAGAUAAUUUUAUUAAAUACUUUCUUAAUUAGCUAGCUUAUAAACUUAUAACUUUAUAGCUUAUAAACUUCCAACCAAUUUAUAAGUCAAUUUUUACGAGACAUAGCUAAAUUGAUCCAAACUGAAAAAAAAAAAAAACACACUAGUUUGGGUUGCUAGUAAAAUAAAAUAAAAUAAGACAACUGAAGCUAUCUAACUCAGUACUUAAUAAUUGAAUUGUCGAUUAAUUUAAGUUUGUAUAUUUUACCUAUAUACGUACAUAAUACACCAACUACUUGCUAAUAUUUUAAUAGAGUCGUCAUCAUAUUCUCAUUGACACUUCCAAACACCAUGAGCACUAUAUAAACCCCCCAUCCACACCAAAUUACUCCCAUCUUCACUUACACUCUUCUUUUAAGCUCUAGCAGUUAACUAACAAUAUUAGCAUUUGCUAGUGAUUAGGAAUAUAAAGAUACGCCAACCACAAACAGUUUAAGAUGGCCUCCAAAACAUGUUCAUCCCUUGCUCUUUUCCUCACACUCAACCUCCUCUUCUUUUCACUUGUCUCUGCAUGCGGUAGUUAUUCAUGCCCUAGUCCAAAGCCAAAGCCAAAGCCCAAGCCAAAGCCCAACCCUAACCCUAGUCCUUCUGGUGCAUCGUGCCCCCGUGACGCACUCAAGCUAGGUGUAUGUGCCAACGUGCUAAAAGGGUUGUUGAACGUGACUUUGGGUCAACCACCAGUUACCCCUUGCUGCACCCUUCUCGAUGGGCUCGUUGACCUUGAGGCUGCAGUGUGCCUUUGCACUGCCCUCAAAGCAAAUGUUUUGGGCAUCAACCUCAACCUUCCUAUCUCACUCAGCUUGCUUCUCAAUGUUUGCUCAAGGCAAGUCCCACGCGAUUUUCAAUGUGCCUAAUCAUGGCCUAUACACAACAUAUCAUAUAUAUCUAACGUGUUUGGAAACUCGUUGAGGAUGGAGAAAUCACGUCUGAGAUAUGAAAAGCUAUAACUAUUUGCUUUUCCACAUCUAAAAUGUGAAAAAUUACGUCUGAAACGUGAAAUCAAACACGUUAAUUAAUCAUCCUAUCUACGUACUUUUGCUUCGUGUUUGGUAUAGUUGUGACUUUCCUUUAUAUUGAUCAGUGUGUGAAUCUUGUACGUGCAUGGAGGGUUAACUUCUCCUUAUUCCUUCCUUUUAGUGUUUUCUAAAUAUUGUAUGGUUAGAGUGUUGCAAUAAAUUAAUAAAUAAGUUCCUGAUGCAUGCUUAUGUAAAUCGCAAGGGAACCAAAGAUAAUGAACUGGUGUGUUAUUUAUAUUUGAUUGAGAAAUGGUCAUUAUAUCACAAAUAAUCGUUUGGAAAAAUAAAUAUGUUGGGUACGUUUAUGAGUGGGGGGUCACUGAUGUAAUAGGAGCAGAUUAUGUAUGCAGGGACUGAACAAAUUAUCUUGCUUGAUAUAUGCUGUGGGGUUUUAUGUGCUGCGUCAAUAGUUUAGGAGCAGGAGCAGAUUAUGAUUGCUGCAUACAUAAUAUGCAGGAGCAGAUUAUAUGUAUGUUGUGGGAUUUUGCAGUGUAGUGGUUUAUAUAUGAUGUAAAAGGGUUUGGUUCCCUUAUAUUAUACCCUCUAUUAUAUAAAUCUUAUUUGGCUUAUAUAAAAAGAAUAAUCCUUCUUAAUUUAUUUCGUUCUGCCUUUUCCUUUUGUCUUUUUUGGUGAACGAAAUCACCAACUAAUCAAUUAAGUAAAUUAUUCGGCAUACUACUAAUUAAAGUGUAUCAAUUGAACUUUCAUAUCUUGCUCGGUAACAAACAAAAUUGGGAAGUUAUGAGUUGGUUUUUCAGGGCUAUUGCUUAAUAAUAUCUCUGCUAAUUAUAUCCAAUUUAGUUCUUUACUAAGGAGGAAAUAGCUGCAUACGAUUCGCUACCUUUUUUUACCAUGCAGGGUAUGAUCUAUUUAAAUCAUGCAUAAUGAAAUUGUAUUUCAAGGUGUAUCUUUCGACUUAUCUAGUAGUGUUUUAGAUUUUUAUAAAGAUUAGAUCGAGGACAUUCAGCAAUAAAUUAAGUAUAAUAUUCUUUUAUCUAAUUUGUUUACAUCUUGUAGCCUGUUAGAGCACUCUGUCUCUUAAUAAAUUGUUUUUCCUGUAAAAGAAUAAAGUAUUUAAUUGUUGAAAAUGUAUAUUACGGGAAGACAUAUUACUAAUCAAGUAUUUGUUGAAAAAGUUGGGAACACAAGAGUCCAUCAUAUUAUUAUUAAAUUGUUGAACCAUUUCCCCUAAAUCUAAGAGAUCAAUAUUGGAAGAAAAAAUCAUAGACAUUCAAAUUACUUUUCCUGGAUAUAGUGACAAUAUAAUAAAUUAUACAAACAAAUGAUAUACUUUUGAAUCACCAUAAUGUUCGUGCAAAUUAUUCAUUUAUUUUAUUAAUUACACAUAAUAAUCUUUAUUUUCAAUUACAAAAUUUCAACUUAAAACUUUAAGAAAUUUAAAUCCAAUUUCACUCAAACCAAAAUCACAUAUGUUAGCCAAACAUAUGAUUAGUUAUUGUAUACUUUAUUUUAUAUAUUAAAAAAAUCCAUGUACAUUUAUAAUAUUUAUAUGGCUAAAAUAUUGUUCUAAUCGCUUAUUUAUUUAUUUAUUUAAUUGGUGUAAUUUGAUUUCUUUAUUGAUAAAGACUUCAAUUUAGUUAAUUUUCAAAAUCAUGUCUAUGUUGUAAUUUUCAUCUAGUUGAUAAAAAUGUAGAACCAACAAAAUGGGUAAGAACUCACUAGUUUGAGCCGGGUUGGGUUGAUUUUUUAUGCCCAUUUCAAUUAUUAUGCAUAAAUAUGGCCCACCCAACCCGUAUUCAGGUUGACUAAUAAAAAAAACAUGUAUGUUGAUGCUAUUAAAAAAAUAACCCACUCCUUACUUGUCACGCAAAUGAAAUAGCACAACAAUUAUAAUUAGGUUUGUCCUUUUUUUUUCUCACUCUUUUUUCUUGAUUUAGUUAUUCUUCUUGCUUUCCUUUUUACAACAAUCAACAUAGAAUAAAAAUUAUAGGAAGUUUUUUUUAAAAAAAAUCAUUUCGUCCUUUUAAUUUUAGGUGGAUCAAACUAUUUAAUCUAUCAACUGGUGGUUACCUAAACUAAUUUAACUAACUUUUUAAAGACUCAGCAAAAAGUGAGUCAAGAUAGGCUAGUCCACUUUUUGAGCAACACGAGAUGAACUGACUUUGUCCACUUUGACAAUUGUAUUGGUGUUAACAAAAACAGACAUGUGCCACUUUCACAGGUUCAAGCCACUGACGUUAUUAUAGUCAUAUAUGCAAUUUUGAAAACUAAGGGUAAUUAUUUUUUUUAUAAUAAAAUGGCCAAAUUGGAUAAAUAAAAUAAAAAUAGAGACAAAAGAGUAUUUCAGUCUAUUUAUAUUAAAUAGUUAAUUUUCGUAAGAAAAAAAAUACAUACAGAGAGUAACAGACUAAUUCAAAACUUAUUUAUUAGAGUUUUAUUUUUGUUUAAUGAAGUGAUUUAAUAAUCAUUAUUUGAUUCUGAUUUUUUAAUAAAAUAUAUUAAUUAUUUAUUUAUUUAUACCUUAUGUUAAAAAAAUUAAGUAUUUAUACUUUAAUUCAAAGAAUAAAACUUAUAAUACAUCAUCUAUUUUUUUGGUAUUGUUUUUUAUAUAAGGUUAUAUUUUAAUGACCAACUCCUUGUUUUUAUUUUAACUUAUAAAGUAUUACUAGAUUAUCAAAAUAAUUUUCUAAUUUUAAUUUUAAAAACGUUUAAGAAGCAAAUUAGUUUUCUUCAAAUUAAUAAAUUAAUCGUUGCUAUCAGCCAAAUAGCUAGUGGUAACGUAAGGAUCUGAUUAAAAAUCUAAUAAACUUAUAAUAGCUGUUAGCCUAUUAGCCAAAUAGCUAGUGGUAAUGUAAGGAUUGGGUAAGCUGUCGGGAUAUACAUCAUCAUCUCUGUUUUGUUUUGUUUUUUUUUUUUUUUUUUUUUCCAAAAUUAUAUUUUAAUCUCCUUAGUUGUCUCUAAUUUUGAUUUUAGUAUCUUUUAAAAUUAUUGAUGCAUAUAGUAAUGCAUUUAGUCCUUCAAGUUCAACCCCGUAAACAUGAUCCUAAUUUAGACGUUGACUGUUAUAAAAAAAUGUUGACAGUCACGUGUUACAUUCUGAUUGGACGAUAAUUGACACGUGUCACAUUUUGAUUGAAUAUUGACAACAACAAUACAUUUUUCAUCAUUCAUAAAGUCAACAUUUAAUUAGAACGUGACACAUGAUAAUUUACGGGAUUGAAUAUAAUUAAAGGACUAAAUGCAUCAAUAAUUUUAGGAUCGGAGGAUAGAAGUUCCAAAUUUAAACCAAAAUGGAUUUUCAAUCAUGUAGAGGUAUACGAGAAUAAAUGAUAGUAAAGGUAUAUAAAUUGAAAAUUAAUAAUUAAUUAUACUGAUUAUAUAUACAUAUAUAAUAAAUCAUAAAAUUUAUCAAUUUAAUUAAUUUUUAUCAAUAAUUAUACUUUUAUUUAAAUUUAUUUUUUUAUAUAAUGUCAAUGCAAUUUAUUUACUAUUAACUAUUUAAAAAAUAUUCUACAUAAUUAUUAUAAAAAUUAACGACCUCAUCAUUCAAAACUUAAUGCAUUACAAUUAAAUUCUUCCUACUUUGUUGUUUAAAAUUUUAAAUCCAACAUAAUUACUUUUUUUCCUGAUAAUCCAACCAAAUUACUAUUCACUCCAAUCUUAAAUAUAAAUAAAAAUACCUCAUAUAAUUAUUUCAAAUAUAAAUAAAUUUUAACUAAUUUUAAAAAAACAUUCUCCAAAACAUUUUUAUUUUAUUUCAAUAACCUCUUUAAUUCUCGUUAUAUCAAUUGCAUGACUUUUAAAAAUAAAAAAUAUUUUCAAUUAAAAAAAAUUCUAUUAAAAUAAUGUUUUUUAACAAUUAGCGUGAAGAGUAGUUUGAAUAAUGAUUUUUUUUAACAAGAUACAGAAAAUUAAAUUAAAUUUACUAAAUUAUUAUAAAACAAUCACCGUGGUAUUCAUGCAAGUGAAACUUAUCUCAAAUUUCUUUAGUAAAAUUUGAAAUUUAAAUUAAACUUUGUAGAUGAAAGAAAAAAAAAUAAGAUGAGAGAUUCUAUAUAGGAAAAGUGAGUCACUCAUAUUUCUUAACAAAAGAUUAAUAAUUAUUAGCAAAAUAAAUAUAUAUUUCUCACUAAAAUUAUCUUGUAGUAAAAAUUACCAUGAAUUUUUUUAACACAAAAUUUAAAAAAAUAUCUAAAAAAGAUUUAUACGUUUGUAUAAGUGACUUAUCUCUUUUAAUUAUAAGUGAUAUAGAAUUUAAACUAUGAUUGUUAAUUUAAUAUAAAAUAAAUCAUAUUAAAACAGAAGUAUUAAUCUCAAACAGCUUUCAAUAGAAAUUAUUUACUACUCACACUAUAAUAAAAAAAUAAAAAAAUCUGGCAAGGGUUUGUACUUUGUAGAGAAGUUGUGGUGAAUUUACAGCCACAAUUAGUGAUACUUAUAUGGGACCCGCUAUUCCACAUGCAAAAGUUAGUAAUUGCAUAAUUCUGGGGACUCCAAGGAUCUUAGAUCUUACGGUCAUGGAAUCAAGUUGCCCAACGGGUGCAUAACUUUGCUCCCCAGAUCCACCGAUUGAUGCCAGUCCCUACAUCAACAAGUCACGAGCAUUAAAAACCUAAUUUAAGGACUUAAUUUUCCUGCCAGCUACAAAUUCUCAGGUUCACGUUCCAUUAAUUUAAUAUUUUUUUAUUUAUUAUGAAAUAUAUUCAAGUGUUUAAUUUUUUAUUGUCAAAAAUCAAAUACUGUAUUUUAAGUUGUUACGGAGUUAUUCUUAAUCAAAAUUAGCAUUUAUCUAUAUAAUUAUUCUUAAUUUUAGUUAUAAAAAAUACUGAUUAUUAAAAUAAAAUUUUCAUUUUGAUUGAAAAAUUACUCCAACCAUUUUUAUAAUAUAUACAAUAUCUAGGUUUAAUUUAUUUUUAAGAGAAAAAUACUCUCAUACAUAUAUACAUUCAUAUGUUCCUUUUAUAGGCAAUAAUAAUAGUACUUAUUUAUAUUUUUCAUUAUUAAUAAAACUAAUCUAUCAUUGAUUAAAUCAAUUUUUUAAAUGUCUUUUAAUUUAAGUUUUACAUUUUACCUAUAUCGUACAUAUAUAAUACACAAACUACUUGCUAAUUUUUUAAUUGACUCCUCAUCAUAACCCCCUUCCACCUUCAAAACAUCAUGAGCACUAUAUAAACCACAAUCCACAUCCUCACAAACACUCUUCUCAUAAGCUCUAGCACUUAACUAGUAAUAUUUAUUAGAAUUUGCUAGAGAAUUAGAAGAAUAAACAUAAUACCCCAGAUGGCUUCAAAAACUUGUUCCUCCCUUGCCCUUUUCCUCACACUCAACCUCGUUUUCUUCUCACUUGUCUCUGCAUGCGGUUAUACACCAUGCCCUGGUCCAAACCCAAAGCCAAGGCCCAACCCCAACCCUAACCCUAACCCCAGCCCAAGUGGCUCGUGCCCCCGUGACGCACUCAAACUAGGUGUAUGCGCCAAUGUGCUAAACUUGGUGAACGCCACUUUGGGUCAACCACCAGUUACCCCUUGUUGCUCCCUUCUCGAUGGUCUCGUUGACCUUGAGGCUGCAGUGUGCCUUUGCACUGCUCUCAAAGCAAACAUUUUGGGCAUCAACCUCAACCUUCCGAUCUCACUCAGCUUGCUUCUCAAUGUUUGCUCAAGGAAAGCCCCACGUGAUUUCCAAUGUGCCUACUAAGCUUAUACUAUAAGUAUAACAUAUCAUCUUAAAUCUUCUUUUGCUUCGGGUUUGCUCUAGUUGUGGCUUUCCAUU
Molecule: long non-coding RNA, 14533 nt
Filed under: Glycine max (soybean)
Lineage: Eukaryota; Viridiplantae; Streptophyta; Magnoliopsida; Fabales; Fabaceae
Description: long non-coding RNA (GMAX_LNC003887)
Rfam family: MIR1520 microRNA precursor family (bases 11859-11980)
Source: RNAcentral